AGAACGAACGCUGGCGGCAGGCUUAACACAUGCAAGUCGAACGCUCGUAGCGAUACGAGAGUGGCAGACGGGUGAGUAACACGUGGGAACGUUCCCCUCGGUUCGGAAUAACUCAGGGAAACUUGAGCUAAUACCGGAUACGUCCGCGAGGAGAAAGAUUCAUCGCCGAGGGAUCGGCCCGCGUCUGAUUAGCUAGUUGGUGAGGUAACGGCUCACCAAGGCGACGAUCAGUAGCUGGUCUGAGAGGAUGACCAGCCACACUGGGACUGAGACACGGCCCAGACUCCUACGGGAGGCAGCAGUGGGGAAUCUUGGACAAUGGGCGCAAGCCUGAUCCAGCCAUGCCGCGUGAGUGAUGAAGGCCCUAGGGUUGUAAAGCUCUUUCGGCGGGGACGAUAAUGACGGUACCCGCAGAAGAAGCCCCGGCUAACUUCGUGCCAGCAGCCGC
RNAcentral lists this ribosomal RNA (448 nucleotides) under uncultured bacterium. Its description in RNAcentral is "SSU rRNA". It matches the Rfam family "Bacterial small subunit ribosomal RNA", at positions 26 to 518 of the family's 1533-position model. The record is from RNAcentral.